ACCUCAAAGCUAGCCUAUAUAUUAAUUCAACUAGACCUUAUAAAUCUAAUCUAUAUUACAAUUUUCAAUUAAAACAUUCUUAGCCUUUCAGUAUGGGUGACAGAACAAUAACCCCAGCGCAAUAGCUUAUGUACCGCAAGGGAAAGCUGAAAAAGAAAUGAAACAAAUCAUUAAAGUACUAAAAAGCAGAGAUCAUACCUCGUACCUUUUGCAUCAUGAUUUAGCUAGAAAAACUAGGCAAAAAGACCUUAAGUCUAUCUCCCCGAAACUAAACGAGCUACUCCGAAGCAGCAUUAUAGAGCUAACCCGUCUCUGUAGCAAAAGAGUGGGGAGACUUCCGAGUAGCGGUGAAAAGCCUACCGAGUUUAGUGAUAGCUGGUUACCCAAGAAAAGAACUUUAGUUCUGCAUUAAUUUUUCACCGUCUAGACAAGACUUACUCGUCAAAGAAAUCUAUAAGAAUUAAUAGUUAUUUAGAAGAGGUACAACCCUUCUAAACCAAGACACAACUUUUUAAGGUGGGAAAUGAUCAUAAUUAUUAAGGUUACAAUCUCAGUGGGCCUAAAAGCAGCCACCUGUUAAGUAAGCGUCGCAGCUCUAAUCUAAUAACUAAACCUUUAAUUCAGAUAUUCAUUCACAACCCCCUUUAUCCUAUUGGGUUAUUUUAUAUUUAUAUAAAAGAACUUAUGCUAAAAUGAGUAAUAAAGAGAAUAAAUCUCUCCCGACACAAGUGUACGUCAGAAAGAAUUAAAUCACUGAUAAUUAAACGACCCCAAACUGAGGUCAUUAUAUCAUUUAAUCAUCAACUAGAAAACCCUAUUCCUCUACNNNNNNNNNNNNNNNNNNNNNNNNNNNNNNNNNNNNNNNNNNNNNNNNNNNNNAACGACCCCAAACUGAGGUCAUUAUAUCAUUUAAUCAUCAACUAGAAAACCCUAUUCCUCUACCCUUUAUCCCUACACAGGAGUGUCAUUAGGAAAGAUUAAAAAAAAAUAAAGGAACUCGGCAAACACAAACCCCGCCUGUUUACCAAAAACAUCGCCUCUUGACAAACCAUAAUAGGUCCCGCCUGCCCUGUGACAACGUUCAACGGCCGCGGUAUUUUGACCGUGCAAAGGUAGCGUAAUCACUUGUCUUUUAAAUGAAGACCUGUAUGAAAGGCAUCACGAGAGUUUAACUGUCUCUAUUUUCUAAUCAAUGAAAUUGAUCUAUUCGUGCAGAAGCGAAUAUAAUAACAUUAGACGAGAAGACCCUAUGGAGCUUCAAACACUUAAAUUAAUUAUGUAAUCCUCCACCUCCCAGGGAAUAAACAAAAUAUACAAUACUUCUAAUUUAACUGUUUUUGGUUGGGGUGACCAAGGGGAAAAACAAAUCCCCCUCAUCGAUUGAGUACUAAGUACUUAAAAAUUAGAAUGACAAUUCUAAUUAAUAAAACAUUUAUCGAAAAAUGACCCAGGAUUUCCUGAUCAAUGAACCAAGUUACCCUAGGGAUAACAGCGCAAUCCUUUCUCAGAGUCCCUAUCGAAGAAAGGGUUUACGACCUCGAUGUUGGAUCAGGACAUCCUAAUGGUGCAACCGCUAUUAAGGGUUCGUUUGUUCAACGAUUAACAGUCCUACGUGAUCUGAGUUCAGACCGGAGAAAUCCAGGUCAGUUUCUAUCUAUGAAUACACUUUUCCCAGUACGAAAGGACCGGAAAAGUAGGGCCAAUGCCACUAGCACGCCCUAUUUUCAUCUAUUGAAUAAAACUAAAAUAGAUAAGAAAAGAUCACCUAGUGCCCAAAAAAAGGGUU
This 1786-nucleotide ribosomal RNA is filed under the name Carcharhinus falciformis (silky shark). Its description in RNAcentral is "16S ribosomal RNA". It matches the Rfam family "Bacterial large subunit ribosomal RNA", at positions 371 to 2829 of the family's 2925-position model. Lineage: Eukaryota; Metazoa; Chordata; Chondrichthyes; Carcharhiniformes; Carcharhinidae. The record is from RNAcentral.